UACCAGCACCCCGAGUGGUCGGGACGAUUAUUGGGCCUAAAGCAUCCGUAGCCGGUUUUACAAGUCCUCCGUUAAAUCCAGCUGCUUAACAGAUGGGCUGCGGAGGAUACUAUAAGACUAGGAGGCAGGAGAGGCAAGCGGUACUCAGUGGGUAGGGGUAAAAUCCUCUGAUCCAUUGAAGACCACCAGUGGCGAAGGCGGCUUGCCAAUACGCGCUCGACGGUGAGGGAUGAAAGCUGGGGGAGCAAACCGG
RNAcentral lists this ribosomal RNA (253 nucleotides) under uncultured bacterium. Its description in RNAcentral is "partial 16S ribosomal RNA". It matches the Rfam family "Archaeal small subunit ribosomal RNA", at positions 474 to 727 of the family's 1478-position model. The record is from RNAcentral.